This 462-nucleotide ribosomal RNA is filed under the name uncultured bacterium. Its description in RNAcentral is "SSU rRNA". It matches the Rfam family "Bacterial small subunit ribosomal RNA", at positions 26 to 518 of the family's 1533-position model. The record is from RNAcentral.
AGAAUCAACGCUGGCGGCGUGCCUAACACAUGCAAGUCGAACGAGAAAGUGGUAGCAAUACCAUGAGUAAAGUGGCGCACGGGUGAGUAACACGUGACUAACCUACCCUGGAGUGGGGGAUAACUGAGGGAAACCUUAGCUAAUACCGCAUAAUACCCACGGGUCAAAGGAGCAAUUCGCUUUGGGAGGGGGUCGCGGCCGAUUAGUUAGUUGGCGGGGUAACGGCCCACCAAGACUGUGAUCGGUAUCCGGCCUGAGAGGGCGCACGGACACACUGGAACUGAAACACGGUCCAGACUCCUACGGGAGGCAGCAGUGGGGAAUUUUGCGCAAUGGGGGAAACCCUGACGCAGCAACGCCGCGUGGAGGAUGAAGUCCCUCGGGACGUAAACUCCUUUCGAUCGGGACGAUUAUGACGGUACCGGAAGAAGAAGCCCCGGCUAACUUCGUGCCAGCAGCCGC